CAGUCCACGCCGUAAACGAUGUGUGCUAGUUGUCGGGCUCUAAGAGUUCGGUGACGCCGCUAACGCAUUAAGCACACCGCCUGGGGAGUACGGCCGCAAGGUUAAAACUCAAAGGAAUUGACGGGGACCCGCACAAGCGGUGGAGCAUGUUCUUUAAUUCGAAGCAACGCGAAGAACCUUACCUACACUUGACAUACUCGUCGGGAAUUUCAGAGAUGAUUUUCUUCGGUUCGGCCGGACGAGAUACAGGUGCUGCACGGCUGUCGUCAGCUCGUGUCGUGAGAUGUUUGGUUAAGUCCAGCAACGAGCGCAACCCCUAUCGUAUGUUGCCAGCAAUCAGUUGGGCACUCUAAAGAGACUGCCGGUGACAAACCGGAGGAAGGUAAGGAUGACGUCAAGUCAGCAUGCCCCUUACGCCCUGGGCCACACACGUGCUACAAUGGUCGUGACAAAGGGUCGCUAAUCUGCAAAGACAUGCUAAUCUCAUAAACACGGCCUC
RNAcentral lists this ribosomal RNA (499 nucleotides) under uncultured bacterium. Its description in RNAcentral is "bacterial SSU rRNA". It matches the Rfam family "Bacterial small subunit ribosomal RNA", at positions 791 to 1289 of the family's 1533-position model. The record is from RNAcentral.